RNAcentral lists this long non-coding RNA (303 nucleotides) under Citrus maxima (pomelo). Its description in RNAcentral is "long non-coding RNA (CMAX_LNC003899)". The record is from RNAcentral. Lineage: Eukaryota; Viridiplantae; Streptophyta; Magnoliopsida; Sapindales; Rutaceae.
GAAUUGGCUUGUUCCUCCCCCUGUAGUCAUCUUCUGGGUAUUCCAGCCUAUCUCUCCGCAUGUGAUCAGAAAACCGGCCUUCAUGUCGAGGAGGUGGCAGAACACCAGGCCCAAAAUCUCUAGGUCCAUCCCUGGCCCAACCCCGAGGAGGGGACCUAUAGCCAUUCACAGUCCUGCCAGGGGAAAUAGCUAUAGGAGGCCCAGGGAAUCGCCGAGGGGGAGGAGGUGGAGGUGGAGGACCAGGGUAGCCCCUCCUCGGACUACCACCAGGGGCGUAGCGGAACCUCUUACAGUUGUUACAGU